CUAAGGGGAAGAACGAACGUAUUCGUCAUGCCUGGAGCCUGGGAUCUGCAGUUGUGGUAUGCGGUGGCUAAAAUCCCCAGAUUUGGAUUCUGCAAAGUUUUCAUAGCCUCCAACACGUGUUUUGUCUGAACAAAGGCUAAGCAACGGAGCCCCACCUCUUAUGCUGGGCAACACGAAGAGGGCAUCCUAGAGACGGAUAAGAAGUAAAUGGCUUUAUCAACAAGGCAAUACCCUACCAGAACAUGAAGACUGGUCUCCUCAGUUCCUCGGCUGUACAGCUGUGUAAGAUUUCAAAAUUCUUUCUCCUCAUCAUGUUCACAUCUGAGCAUCAAGCUAUGUGGCCUGUUCUCCCUGUCCCAACCCCAAGUCAAAUCACGGAAUGGUGGAAGGGACUGGAGAGCUGUCAUAUCACACCAGUCAAAUAUUUCUCUUAUCAUAGACAGUGUUUUUAAAGCAGUUCGUAAACACAGGCACUUUGUACAAGGGAAGUUACACUUUAUGAACUAUAAAUGGGUUUUAAAGUGGCUUGCUCUCAGGCUGCUUUUCAUUAAGAUGCACAUCAACUUGAAUUUGUCUACUGCUAAUUAAAAUGAUUAUUGAGGCCUUUUUUUUAAGUUUCAGUUUUGGGGACAUUUCGGAUUUCAGAUUGUCCUGAUGGUGGACGCUAAACCUGUGCUCGGACUAAAGAAAGUAACCCACUAAAGCAAAAGAUGUGUGAGAGAUUUUAAUGCUGCUGGAUGUAAUUUGGGGAUUCUGUAGAUACAUGUACUUGCCACCAAGCCUGAGGGAUUCAGCUCCAUAACCAGAAGGCACAUGGUAAGAGGAGAGCAGUGACUUCCACAAGUUGUCCUCUGACCUACACAUGCAUGCAAUGACAAGAACAAGAGCCCCAUCACCAUGCUAAAUAAACAAACAAAUUAAUGAGUGAGUACAAUUUUUGUAGGCCACAGUGUCUGAGGGGGUGAUUUCAAAGAAAGGAGCAUAUCCCAAGAAUAAAGGCCUGAGAAAUAGGAAACCUGGAGGAGUUUCCUAGAAGUACCGAUAGGUCUUCAGAUACAGGAUAGAGUUUGGAGGCAACCAGGAGGCAAUAGGAAAGCACCCCUGGAAAUACUGCCAGAGGGCUCUGAGAAGUCACUACUGAACUCAGUAUGUCACGGUUGGCCAUUCAGAUUAUGGUUGAUUUCAGAGUGAUAGCCGUGGCAGAAGAUUUAGGGGGCUGAUCCAGCAUGGCUGUGCUGGACGGAUUGUGGCACUAAAAGGUAGGGUCUUCCAGGUCAGUGCAACUGUGGUUUGACAAGUAGUAUGUUAUGAGGCAAAGAUAGGGGGACCCUAUCCUGACAUUGUAGCUGAUGUCAUAUGAUGCCACCAUACUGAUUUUCUGUGAGUGGCAUGGCUCAUUCUCACUGCUUUCCCCUGCAUCUGUCCCUACUGCCACCACAGUUGUCCAGCUGUGGGGAGGGGUUUUGAGGAUAAGUUACAGAGACGUGGAGGAAAGCCCUCCCUCUCAGCUUUGGCCCACAGUGUCCUUUCUGUAAAACCUUGUGCUGUGUCAGUGUAACUCCUACCCAUUUACCAAGCCUCAGCUCAAAUCUAUCACCAGAUGAAACUUAUUCCGUUAUGAACCCCACCAAACCUUGAAAACUAUAGCCCUUUAUCUCUCUGCCCCUAUAGCCCUUAGCAGAAAACUCAAGACUAAUAGCUGAGGGGCUGUAGCCAAGUUGAAAUGGGGUGUGUCCUGAGGGGAGGGCCUGGGUUUCAGUUCAUUUGUUAGGGUAGCUACAAAGUGGUGGGAAUGUUCAUAUGUUCUUUCUUCGAUGGGAGACCCCAGGACCAUUUCCUGAGGGAAUGUGAUAAGAAAGGAAUAUAAUUCACAGGCUCUUAGAGACCACCAUAGUCUAAGAAUAGAAUGGCUACUGCUUGGGGAGAAAUACCAGUAUCUCUACUUAAUGCUUCUCUUGGGCCUUGAAAUGUUCCUAUUGCAAACAGUGUGGUUUAUGCAUCCAGGAGAAAACAAAUUCCUCUCUAGUGAAGUUAAAGAAACACUGCCUUCAGCUAUGAACAUUUUGCAAGUCUUGUGGCUUUUACACUUCACUUCCAACCCUGAAGAAGAAGAAAAAUUGAACAGAAUACUUUUUUAAAAAAUCAAUGAAUGAAUCGAACAGGUUUUUCUACCUUUUAGGAGUAGAGGUCAUAAGCUACAAUGUGUUCCCACUUGGCAAACUGCCAUUUAUAAGUUCCAGAGCUAUGCAACCUCUUUUGCUGAGACUGUAGAUAGUCCAAAGAUGCGCUCUAGGGCAGAGGUUCUAAACCUUCCUAAUGCUGCCACCCUCUAAUACAGUUCCUCAUGCUGUGGUGACCCCCAACCAUAAAAUCAUUUCGUUGCUACUUCAUAACUGCAAUUUUGCUACUGUUAUGAAUCAUAUUGUAAAUAUCUGAUAUGCAGGAUAUCUGAUAGGUGACUGCUGUGAAAGGGUUGCUUGACUCCCAAAAGGGUCAUGGCCCACAGAUUGAGAAGCUCUACUCUAGAUGCUUUGUUGAGAUGAGAGAACGUGGUGGCAUAGAGACAGGGUGUUUUCAGGAGCAGAUAGGACCAGGAAUGUGAUGGGGUUGUCCUUCUGUGUAUAAGUUUCUCUUAUUGGUUGAUGAAUAAAACACUAUGAGGCUAGUAGCCAGGCAGGAAAGAUAGGUGGGGCUACCAGAGGAAAAUUCUGGGAAAUGUAGGCAGACAGGAGUCACGAUGUGAGAACAGGAAGGUGGAGUGCCAACCCUUCUCUGGUAAGAUAAAACCAUGUGGAAAUAGUUAGAUUAAUAGAAAAUGGAUUAAUGAUUAAUACUGAGUUAGCCAAUAAGAAACCCUAGUCAACAAUUUCAUAAUUAAUAUAAGUCUUUGUGUGUUUAUUUGGCGCUCGCAAGGGUGGUGGGACCCUGCCAGGACAAAGAACCUUCCAUUACAGGAGUGAAAUAAUGCAGAGUUAGGAUGUGUCUUAUCCCAACAUCCAAGUACGACCAAAAUAAGCCCCAUUACUGGGAAUUGGCAUGCGAUAGAAGGUUCUUUCAUUCUAACACCUUUACUUUACAAAGAAGAAAGAUGAAAGGUAAUUUUUCCUAGCUUGGUUAUGAGAAACAAAUCUGUUGGAUAUGGCUUUUUAAAGAUAAAGGGUGUCCCAUGGGCCUAUGUUUCAAUGCCUGGUCUCUGAGUUUUGAAGCCUUUAAGAAGUACGGCAUGCCUGGCAGAAGUGGGUCACUGGGGGACGAGUCUUUUAAAGGCUAUGCCUGGUUCUGGCCCUGUUAUAGCAUCAUGCCAGUGGCACAGUCAUCCUCAGAGGAUGGAUUUCCCUCCUGGCCACAAUAGACUGAGGAGAUCUUCCUAAAAUCAUGAACCAGAAUAAACCUUUCAUGCCUUAAAUUGCUUCUGUUAGGUAUUUCAGUCACUGUGAGACAAAAGUAACUGAUGCAAAAAAUUGGAAGCAGAGAUAAGGGAUUGUUGCCUCGAGAGACCAGGAUGUGUGGCUCUGAAGCCUUUAGCAGUGAUCUGUGGGAGAAAUGCAGAAGAGAUUAAAGAUAUGGGCUAGAAGAGCCCUAAAAUGCUUUAAGCUUACUUAAUGGUUAGUUUUGCUAACAGUGAGAAAGAUCAGAAAGUUGAUAAAAAUGCCAUAGUAAAGACUGUGCUCUUGAGAUUAUAAAUGGAACAACUCCAUGAAAUUACAAAUGGAAUUGGGAGAGGCCUGUAUACUACAUUCUGCCAAAAACUGUGCAUACAUUUUGUCCUUGCCUUAAAAUUUUGGGUGAUGCUGCAUUCAAAAGUAAUGAACAAAUUUCUUUGCUAGAGGACACAUACAUUUAGGCUGUGGCAUGGUUAUUGGCAGCUGCUUUUAACUAGAUUUUCAGUAAGGGCUCAACACAACUGGUGGAAUAUAAAGAUAUGAGAAAUAUGCAGGUUGGUGAGAAAAUUACUUCAAACAUGGUUCAGUUUGCAGAUCAAAAGAAAAAAGUUCUGAUACAGUGGCUAUCAUUAUUGAAGACACUGACCCCAUUAAAGUGAUGCUGUACUUUAGCCCUGGAGCAACAGGGAAAGUCCCUUCAAGAGUGAAACUCCUCCCAUUGAAGACAACAGUGUAUAAAUAGCCAGACACUUGAAAGACUUUCAUUUAAAAGGAAAUACCUAAAAAGAGCUGAUAGGUGUGUUCUAUUUGACAGGGCCACUUAGAGAAGUACUUUCCCAUAUUAUCUGGGCAGAUACUCAGGGGUCACUGUAGUCAUGGCCAAGAAUGACUGGCUACUUUUCAAGCUGGCACAAUGACUUGUCCAUAUAGAGUUGGUUUUACAGGUGUCAGAAUACAAGAGGAAUGGGGUUAUGAGUGCUUACACUAAGAUUCAUUCAUUUAUUUUUUCAGAAAGGCUAGGUCAGACAGUGUGUAGCCAGGUCAAAUCAUUUGCAGUGAGCUUGUGUUGGCUAGUUUUAUGUCAAACUGACACAAGCUAAUGCCGUUUUGGAAGCAGGACCCUCACAUGAAAAAAAAUACUCCCACCAGGCUGGACUGUGGGGUAAGCCUCUGGUUCAAUUUCCUGAUUGAUGGUUGAUGUCAGUAGGCAGUGCCAUCCCUGGGCUGGUGGAUAUGGGUGCUGUAAGAAGGCAGACUAAACAAGCCAGGGGAGGCAAGCCAGUAAGCAGCACCAUGACCUCCAGAUCCUGCCUCCAGGUCCCUGCCCUGCUUGAGUUCCUGUCCUGAUUUCCCUCAGUGAUGGACUGUUAUCUGGAAGUGUGAGCAAAAAUAAACUUUCCCCCCCAUGUUGCUUUUGGUCAUGGUGUUUAAAAGAAAUUCAAAGAUAGAAAUUCUGAGUGGGCUAUCUAUGAAGCUUGAGGGUAAAGCCCAUGUUCUGGGGGAGAAAGACCAUAGGAUAUUGGAUGAGACAUCUGUAAAAAAAAGUUCCAGGCAGUGAGUUCUCAGGAGAGAGAUGUAUGCUGCAGGGGCAUAACUAUGGGGACAGAACUGUCAGACCUGCUGGAGUUCCCAUGACAUGCCCCACAUGCUGAGCAUCAAGUUACUGGAUUCGAUGUUUGCUCUGGGAUUUCAGACUUGCUUUGGUUUAAUCUUCUGCUGUCUCUUACAGCUCCUUUGGGAACCGAAUGUUUACUCUGUGCCUUGUGUGUUGGCAGUAUGUAACUUGUUUUUGUGUUUUAUAGGGGCUCACAGUUAAGAAAUUGCCUUGAGUCUCAGCAGAGUCUUUGGCCCAUAGCACAAUGUUGCUACUGUCUAGAACACGGGGAACUCUUGAAGUUGGAUUCAAUGCACUUUGCAUUACGAGAUGAUCACGAGCUUUUUGUGGUCUGGGGCAGUGUUUUAUGGUUCGAAACAGAGCAGCUACCCACAGGCUUACUUAUGAACACUUGGUUUCAGCUUGCAAUGCUGUUUUUGAAGGCUUUGGAGCUUUUAGGAGGUAAUGCCCAAAUGAGAGAUGUGAAUCACUAGGAGCCAAUUUUUAAAGAUUAGACCAACCCCUUGUUCUAGCACUGUAGUCUUCCUCUCAGUCUACCAUCGUGACAAGUGCUGCCACAUUCUCCCACCUACCAUCAUGGUGUUUUUCCUGGUAUGUUAAGCCUUUGAAACCAUGAGCCAAAAUGAACCUUUCCCCUUACCUGUUUCUUUCAUGUAUGCAAAUGUAUGCAAAAUGCAAAAGUAACUAAUUCAUAGUGACAUGCUAGUUACAAGUCCAUAGUCUUGAAGGCUGGAUCUUUGAGCAUGUGUUCUGUUCAUUUGCUAGCAAAAAAUUCUAAUGCAGGAGGGAUCAUUGUACAGAAAUUCAUUCUUUUCUUGGGUCCUUGAACAAGCAAACACGUCCAAUGACUACAAACGGAGGCCAGUGUAGGACCCUUGUACCAGCUGUUUGCCGUAUCCCAGGCUACGAGCAUCCCCACAAACAGUCACCUUUAGAAACCAUGAAGGUGGCUUCCAACUUGUUUUCCUAAGCCUGGGUGUUUCUGUGUAUGUGGAUUUUAAUAUGUAAAUUUUAAUUUACAUACCAGUGGUCCAUGGUUUCCAUGGGGAGGAGCUCACAACCUAAGCUAUGUUUGCUCUUUACAUGGAUUAUCAUCAGCCAGUCAUUGCUGUUCAUCUCCUUAAUCUCUUCCCUCGUCUCUUCCAUUCUCAGCAUCUCUAAACCAUUCUUCACAAAUCGUGUACUGGGAUAAGGGAAGGGUGGACAGAAGGAAGUGACUCAAGCCCAUGUUCUCUGAUACUGUUGUAGAUGUUUCAGCUGACCAACCGUCUACGAGCAGAGAUGGUUUCCAUGACACAACUGUGCGUUAGUAACAACAGAAGCACCUAGACCUGCGGUUGCACACCUUCUGCUGUCUGGAUGGGGGAAUGAGGAAGCUGGAUGGAACUAACUGCAUCUUUGUGAACAUCUCAUCUAAAGAUCAGAGGAGGAGAAAAAGAAGAGGAAGAAGGAGGGGGGAGAGGAGGGGAAGGAGGAGGAGAAGAAGAAGAAAGACAAAGCUCUAUGGGAAAACUAUUUUCCCAGAACUAUAUUAAAUUCCAAACCUGGUGUAUAUGUUGACAUUAAAAUCCAAAUCCAAAAUUGGGAGGGAAGUGAGGGUCUCUCUCUUGAACCAAAUAUUAACUUAGCCCCUUGUAAAUACUAUGGUUAUCUGAGAUAUCUAAAAUAAAAAUGAUUGUGUAAAGA
Molecule: non-coding RNA, 6684 nt
Organism: Cricetulus griseus (Chinese hamster)
Lineage: Eukaryota; Metazoa; Chordata; Mammalia; Rodentia; Cricetidae
Source: RefSeq, a predicted model, not a curated record